RNAcentral lists this long non-coding RNA (837 nucleotides) under Homo sapiens (human). Its description in RNAcentral is "non-protein coding lnc-GAS1-4:5". Lineage: Eukaryota; Metazoa; Chordata; Mammalia; Primates; Hominidae. The record is from RNAcentral.
AGAGACCACCACAGCCUGUGAGAGUCUCCAGUGGACAACGGUUGUCUGAUUGAGACUCUUCCUGGUGUGCUCAGAAAAACCUGUACUUUUUUUGUUUCAAUUAGUUUUAUAGACAUUUCAAGCUGGGGCCUGCAUUUUUUUGUGCAACCCUGGGGUUCAACAAUUUGAAACUGCUUCACACCAAGAGCAGAGAAACUCGCUCUGUGGUUAUCACCUCAGAGAGACACAAUACCCAAAACCUGAGAACAUUCGCCUUGUUUUGUUGGAGUCAACACAUCUGCCAGGUUAUCUGUCUUCAGUCAACAUGGCUCAUAGAAAUCCAUGCUGAAUUAUUUUUUAGGAAGUUCGGUUUUGUUGACGAUGGAGUUAAAUGUUAUUCGUGUUAAAGUGAGUCUUUAAGAAGAUGGCCGGCUGUGUUUCUACAUAGUUUUGACAUCUGUCUUCAUUUCUCAUUUUUCCUCUAAGAUGUUCUGCACAUAUUUGUCAAUUUCUGUGGUCUGACUCAGAGCACAGGAAGUGUGGAGGAGCUUGACCGGAGAAAGAGGCUGAGAACUGCUUCUCUUACCAAGGACCUUCCCCAAGCCAGGCAUCUCCGGAGAUGGUAUGGAGCCUGGGGUAGCUCGGCCAGGCCUUUGAUCACCAGCGAUGCCAUUGCUCUUCCCCGUUUCGCGUCUGCUGUGGCUUGCUGCUGAGGCUGCUUUCAGACCUCUGGAAUCAGAAAAGGAGGUGACUAUAUCAGGUUGAAUGCCUUGAUGGUCUAGACGUGUGACACUUGCUGCAUUUAUGAGACUGGAGGUGGGGCCCCACCCAAGUUCUGCUUCCAGAGGAGGAGGCAAG